This 3747-nucleotide long non-coding RNA is filed under the name Homo sapiens (human). RNAcentral's name for it is "HSALNT0129554". Lineage: Eukaryota; Metazoa; Chordata; Mammalia; Primates; Hominidae. The record is from RNAcentral.
GUGAGAGUUAAUAGCAGGCAGAUCACUGAAGCAUCACUCCUGAAUGUUCCUCUGUACCCUCAAUGUGCAUUUGCACUACCAGUGAUCUCAAGAAUUCUAGAAAAUGAAAACUGGAUUACCAUCACCAACGUCUAGGAACUGUGAGUCCUAUGGCUAUUGAUAUCUAACAUCCUGGCUUCACUCACAUGGAUGAGCCCCACCUGGAAUGCCUAGAAGACGUGGGACAGCUGGAUCUCUCUCCACACGGUUUUUCAUUGUUGCCUCAGGUUCCAAUAAAAGCAAAAGCUGCAAGGUCUUCUGAGGCAAAGACUUAGAAAUACCACAAUGUUACUUCUGCUGCAUUCUGUUGAUAAAAGAAUCCCACAAUGCCAGCUUCAUUUAAAGGGGUAAAGAUAUAGAUUAUUCACCUUCGAUGGGAGGAACUGCAAAUGAUGUAAUUAGUGAUAAUUUUUAAUAUACUGUAAUGUAUUGACUUAUCUUUAAAAAAUGAAAAAAUAAACCAAAAACUAAAAGCAAAACAAAACUAUAAUAGAAAACAAUUGCUUCUGGAGGAGGAAUGCAAUGGGGAAAAGGUUAUAGAAACAAAAGCUACAUUUUAUUUGAAUAUACCUGUUUUAGGUUUGACCCUGGUAACAUUUGAUAUUUUACAUAAUUAUAUCAUUAUUUAAAAUUAAAUUUUAAAACACCAAUACCCAUAACAGAAAAGUUUGAUAAAAGAGGUGAAAUAUAAAUAUAAAUAUAUUAAGUUUGCAUUAUAAUCACACAGAGAUGAAUUGUGUCAGUUACUCAAACACAGAUAUUUGACUAUACAACCUUUAUAAGAUAUCCUAAGGACAAAAAAACAUGCAAAAAUAUAUAUUGAACUGUUUUAAAAUUAUAUUUUUUUGCAAUUGAAUUGUUAUUGUGAGACAGGUGUGUACAUAUUUUAAGAUCAAGCAAGUUAGUAAGCUUGUUGACAUUAUUGUAAAUGGGAUUUGUCCCAUGGGGUAAAGAAGAUAUAAUAGCAAGUAGAAGAAAAUAAAUGAAAACCCAUUAAUAUGAGUUUGAAGUUAAAGUAUCAGUAUGAAGUCAUGAAGCAUUUUCCCAACAAAAAGAAAAAAAUAGUUUCCUAGUUCUAAUCACUUAAAAGUAUAUAGAAACAACAUAAAACUCAAUAUCAAGAGGAAAUGUAACUCAGAUGUGCUCUGUAGACAUUUCCCCUAAAAGGAGUUGAAGUUCAUUGCAAACAAGUAUCUAAUUCCAGCUUGGGGUUUGAAUAUUGUACAAGAUGGGCCUGGAAUAUCAAAUUCUCUUACUAAAAAGCAAGGCAGAUUUGAAAGACUAUUAGGAUGCAUCAAAGAGACUCAGAGGAGUCACCCUGAAGAGGUUACCAUUGGCCAAAGGUAAAAAUUUGAGAAUCAAUAAGAAAAUCAAAGGCAGUAGAUUAAAAUGCCUCAAAUAUGCUUAAAUCUAUCUGUUCCUAAUAAUGUUAAUUUAAAAAUAAUGUUGUCAUUGGACAGCUUUGAAGAAUGUUAGGGAUCCAUAAGAAUGUACAGUUUUGAAUUAAAGAGAAGAAUUGAGCAUUUAUCCUGUUUUUCCUUUAUGGAUUAUGUCUAAGGAUAACCAAAUGUUGAUGACAGAAAAUCCUUUUUAAAGAUACCUUUAGCCAAAGAAUGAAGAAAGAAUGAUAGAAUUGAAAUGUUACCAUUUUUGCAACCCCUAAUGAAAUAAUGAAUCUAGCCAGUUGUUAUCAAUUGUUGCUAACAUAAAAAAUGAGAGACAAACAGACACGCCUCUUCAUAGAAGUAUAUGAUACCACCUAUAAAAUAUUACUGCCAGAAAAAAAAAUCAAACUUUGGAUCUAAUUACCAAUUAGAUCAGCCUUUAGCUCUAACAACCAAUUUGCAAUAUUUACAGGAGAUACAGGAGCAUGUUGAAUGACACCAUAAAAAGGCAAUCAGUAAAAUUUAGUUUAUUAUAAACUAUAUAGGAUAAGUGAUCCAGUUGCUGCAAUAAAUAUAUUACAGAAGGUGUGUAUUGGCGGGUGGGAGAUAAAGGAGCAAUCUAUAGAUAAAAACAGACUUAAGGGACAUAAAAACAACUUUAAUGUAUGGAUCUUAUUUGGAUCCUUAAGAAAACAAAUUGUAAAGUAGCAUGAGACAUUUGAAGAAAAUAGAAAUAGUUUUUAAGUGUGGUAAUGAUAUCGUGGUUAUACGUUGUUAAAGAAUGCCUUUAGAGGUAAAUACAGAAAUAUUUGCAGAUGAACUAAAAUGAUGUCUAGAAUUUACAUAAAAGUAAUCCUGUAGGGAGAGUGAAGAAGUGGAAAGAGUGGAUAUUGAUAGGCAAGAGUAGCUAUAAUUUGACCACUGCUGAAUGUUGUUGAUGGAUAAAUGAAAAUGUAUUAUAUAUUUUUUUACUUAUAUAUUUGAAGAUUUUGAUUUUUAAUAAAGUGAAGCUGAGAAAGGGAAAAUCAUUUUUCUUGAUGUCAGGCUUUGAACAGAGAUAAAAGUAAAACCACUGUAGACCAAAGUGGAAAAAUAAAAAGCAAACAUAAACUUUUAUGCUUUCAGCUCUCUAUUACUGGCUUGUAUUUUUUUUUUAAUCUUUAUUUUAAGUUCCAGGGUACAUGUGCAGGAUGUGCAGGUUUGUUGCUUUUGUAAAUGUGUGCCAUGGUGGUUUGCUACAUCUAUCAACCCAUCAUCUAGGUAUUAAGCCCAGAAUGCAUUACCUAUUUUUCCUAAUGCUCUCCCUCCCCCCACUCUACCCCCCAACAGGUCCCAGGAUGUGUUAUUUCCUUCCCCGUGUGCAUGUGUUCUUAUUGUUCAGUUCCCACAUAAAAGUGAGAACAUAUGGUGUUUGGUUUUCUAUUUCUGCAUUAGUUUGCUGAGGAUAAUGGAUUCUAGAUCCAUUCAUGGCCCUGCAAAGGACAUGAUCUCAUUCCUUUUUAUGGCUGCAUAGUAUUCCAUGGUGUACAGGUACUUUUGAUUGCCUAUUUCAUUUACUUAAACAUAUUCAACCUUUCAAAAAAAUAUUGUUGGUACUUGAAAAUUACAAUAAAUUUGGUGUUUUGGGGUCUGAUUCUGCUCUGUUCUUUCUGUAACUCACACUCUUUAAGAACUUACUUAUAGUUUACUAGGUUCUCAAAAACUUGCUUAAACCAGGGAAAAAGUUAAAACAACACCACUUUAUAAAAAAUGUUGAAAAUAAAGUAAGAUGACUUUUAAGUCAGAAAAAACUGAGGCUACCACUUACGAGUUUGCCACUUACUUAAAUGGCUUACUUCUUUUUUAUUCUUUUUUAAAUUAAGAAUUUUAAGAGCAGUUUUAGGUUGACAGCAAAAUUAAGAGGAAGACACAGAGAUUUCCCAAAUACUCCCUCACCCCACACAUCAAUAGCCUCUCCAAUUAUUAACAUUUCCCAUCAAAGCAGUCUUUUUUUCUACAACAGAUGAACCCACACAUCAUUAUCACCCAAAGUCCAUUGCUGGCAUUAGGUUCACCCUUCAUAUUAUACAUCCUAUCAGUUUGGAUAAACGUAUAAUGAUAUGUAUCUACCAUUACACCAUCAUAGUAUCAUACAGAAUACUUUGACUGUUCUAAAAGUCCUCUGUGCUCCACCCAUUUAUCCCUCCCUCUUCUCUGUCUCCUGGCAACCAUUUAUUUUUUACUGUCUCUGUAUUUUUGCCUUUUUCAUAAUGUCAUAUAGUUGGAUUCAUACAGUGUGUAGCCUUUUCAGAUUGUCUUCUUUUAUUUAGUAAUAUGCAUUUAA